CGCUAAAGUUCUAGGAAUGUUCCUAUGGCAUGUUGAUGGCAGUGUGAAGUGAUAGCACUUCUAUGGAAAGUGUAUUGGCAGACUCAAUGCAUGAAUUUAGAGAUCCUAUAAUCCAAUUAUAUAUGGAAUUCUGUGAUAUGACCAUGGAGGUUUGGGUCAUGUACGAUUUAUCAACUUCUGUUGAGAAAUGGGAAGCCAUAUGUGUCACUACCCAGGGGCAUGAAAUGAAGAACAAAGUAGGACGAACAAAAUGUGUUCAUACACCCUUGGAGUAAAAUUUAUUUUUGUAUUAAAUGCAUCUCUUCAUCAUUAUCUGACCAAAAUAGGAUAGAAAGAUAAUCUUGGAGGGAGGAACUCUGUAAAUAAAUAGAGAUUUAACUAGGUAUGUUAAGGGUGAUACAAAAGCUCUAUUAGUGUUAUUCCCCCUGAAGAAGCAUAUGGAUGCAUCCCAAAUGCCACCCAUGGUCAAAAAGUGCACUAUUCUUGGUCAAAAGUACAGCACUGUAUAGGGCGGUGAUGUGUGACAGAAAAAUUACACAUUUACCUGAUUUGUUUGAUAUCAAUAGUUAGCAAUUAAUACUCAACAAAUAAGAGGAUAUUUCUGUCCUGUUAGUGUCUGUGCUUUUAUAGUUCCCUGCAGCUAAUCUGGCCGUAUGGUCACUAGAGAUGGCUUGAGUUGACAAAUGAGUUAUACAAGAUGUGGUGGGUGUAACCGAGAUAGAGAUAGCCAGGAGGAGUUUAGAACAAUUCCUCAUUGUCUCUAAAUCAUCCUUGCAUCUGGGAAACUAAGCCAGGGUGGGGUUAAGACAACAACCCAUGUGCAAAUAAUGACAGGAUGAACAUAGAGUAGCUUAUGAUGCUCCUUAGUCUGCAUGAAGGGGAUUGAACCAACUAUGACUGAGCAUUGUUAGUGUCAGCUAUAUAUAGUACUCUGCAUUUGUGUAAAGGUUAGGUUACUCGGUCCAACACUCAAGGGUGGGGGGUCGACCAGCCUUAUUUUUGCAAUAAUGAAUCGAUGUUAAAUAAAGAUGAUUGUUUUAAGAAAUGACCAAAUCUCUCUCAGUACUGAAUUUCCACGACAGGUGUCAAACCGGAGGGCCUAGUGUCUGCUGGUUUUUGGUUUCUCCUUUAAAUUAUGACCUAGACAACCAGGUGAGGGGAGUUCCUUACUAAUCAGUGACCUUAAUUCCUCAAUCAAGUACAAGGGAGGGGCGAAAACCCGCAGACACUCGGCCCUCCGUGGAAUGAGUUUGACACGUGGUAUAGGGAAUAGGGUGCCAUUUGGGACAUGUCGGUGUCCUAAAUCCGGUAUUCUGCCCUUUCCAUUUGGAUAAUAGAGUACCUUCAGUCCUUUUCCCAUUCUAAAGUAGUAACUCCCAUUCUGAGCAGCUGGCUCGCCUCGCCAUUCAAAGCCUCCACAUCCAAAAUUAACUAGAGUAGAGGAUUGCUCAGAGGCAAACCCAAGUCCUUAACUUGCAUUUGACACCCCUGCCUUACACUAUUAAAAUAGUACAAGCAUUAAUCCCUU
Molecule: long non-coding RNA, 1528 nt
Filed under: Salmo salar (Atlantic salmon)
Lineage: Eukaryota; Metazoa; Chordata; Actinopteri; Salmoniformes; Salmonidae
Description: lncRNA (ENSSSAG00000115909.1)
Source: RNAcentral